GAGCAUGCGCCGCCGUGGCCGAGUGCUUGAGGGGGUGUGUUUCCGGCUUUUGGAAGUGGUGGGCGGAUUCGGCGGGUGCGGGGUCACCCACCAGAUGUGUAACCUGCUGUCUGCUGAAGCGAACCUCUGAGUUUAAAUGAGACGUGGUGAAAAAAGGUCCCCAGGGAGCAGAUCUGAAAGCCGGCUCCUCCAGAACAUAGACUGCCAGGGGGCGAGAUGACUUUAGACACUGUCCCCAGCAGAUUGAUAGAUGAAGCAUAAAACAAGACCAGAUGCUGUGGUUUCCAGGAUGCACUUGGCUUCCCAUCCCUUAUAACCUGGAGCAUUUUUGCUAGUUCAACUGGGCCUGUCUUCAUAGAAGACAUUUUUCAGGAAGCUAUUCUAGUCCAUGGAGGAGGUGACAUCUCCUGAACCUGGUCCCCACAGAGAAUUUUGAAUGGGAGGAAAAGGAGAUGGUAUGUAUUCUUGCUUAUGUCAUAAUGUUGGACACAUGACUUAAGAAUGUGGCAGGUCAAUGUGACUGGAUCAUUUCAUUACUGCACUUCAGAGUGACUCAGAGGCAAAUGCAGCUUGUUUAAACUCUUAACUGAAGCAUUGGUAUGAUGUAAGAUUAUAGCAAUAAAAGAUAUAAAAUGACUACUUAUUGGGGACAUCCUGAAGGACCGGGGGAAUCCUUAUUUUCUUAUCAUCUCUCAUCUUGCAGUUGUUGAUAGUAAUUCAUCAUUCAUUUGGCAUCAUUCAUUAUAAAGUUUACCAUAUCUCAAAUAACAGGGAAGGCAUCAGAGGUAGCAAUAAGGAGAAUACAACCAAAUAACAUAUAGGAUCUAAACUCAAUAAAAACAGCUAAUAGUGAUCACUUAUAUAGUGUUUACUAUGUGCCAGACUUGUUCUAGGUAAUAUAUGUUUAUAUCCUCACCUAAUUCUCAUAACAACCCUGUGAAGUAGGU
Molecule: long non-coding RNA, 947 nt
Organism: Bubalus bubalis (water buffalo)
Lineage: Eukaryota; Metazoa; Chordata; Mammalia; Artiodactyla; Bovidae
Exons: 4
Source: RefSeq, a predicted model, not a curated record